AUUGAACGCUGGCGGCAUGCCUUACACAUGCAAGUCGAACGGCAGCACGGGGCAACCUGGUGGCGAGUGGCGAACGGGUGAGUAAUGCAUCGGAACGUGCCAUUGAGUGGGGGAUAACGUAGCGAAAGUUGCGCUAAUACCGCAUAUUCUGUGAGCAGGAAAGCAGGGGGACCGCAAGGCCUUGCGCUCUUUGAGCGGCCGAUGUCAGAUUAGCUAGUUGGUGAGGUAACGGCUUACCAAGGCGACGAUCUGUAGCGGGUCUGAGAGGAUGAUCCGCCACACUGGAACUGAGACACGGUCCAGACUCCUACGGGAGGCAGCAGUGGGGAAUUUUGGACAAUGGGCGCAAGCCUGAUCCAGCCAUGCCGCGUGAGUGAAGAAGGCCU
This 386-nucleotide ribosomal RNA is filed under the name uncultured bacterium. RNAcentral describes it as "bacterial SSU rRNA". It matches the Rfam family "Bacterial small subunit ribosomal RNA", at positions 30 to 417 of the family's 1533-position model. The record is from RNAcentral.